ACCAGUGUGGUGCAGUGGUUUGAGUGUUGGACUAUGACUAUGGAGACCAGGGUUUGAAUCCCUGCUCAGCAA
RNAcentral lists this transfer RNA (72 nucleotides) under Phrynosoma platyrhinos (Desert horned lizard). Its description in RNAcentral is "tRNA-OTHER". Lineage: Eukaryota; Metazoa; Chordata; Lepidosauria; Squamata; Phrynosomatidae. The record is from RNAcentral.